Molecule: long non-coding RNA, 400 nt
Filed under: Mytilus galloprovincialis (Mediterranean mussel)
Lineage: Eukaryota; Metazoa; Mollusca; Bivalvia; Mytilida; Mytilidae
Source: RNAcentral
GGUCGAUUGAUAUUUGUAUGUCUCCUGAGUAUCAUCUCUAUCUUUUACUAUUCAUCUUUAAUCUUUAUUAACUUUUCAGCUAGAAUCAUUUAAGAUUUUAUCUACUGAAUAAUUUAGGAAAUAAAACGUAGUACUCAGAGAUGAAUGUUCAUAAAGGUCUUUAGUUUUCUCGUUUAAAAUGUUUUACAUUUGUCGUUUUUGUGCUUUUUAUAGCCGACGGUAAUGUGUUGCAUCAUGUUAGAAGAGCGUACGAUUACCUAUAGCUGUUCACUUUGGUGGUAUUUUGUCUCAUUUGCAAUCAUAACACAUUUAAUACUUAUUAUGUUAUUUCAGGAGUUAAUAAAAAGAAAAUGUUAUGUGAAUGUCCAAAAAGCUUAGUUAAUACAAAAUGGAAUUUUCU